UAAUUUUCAGAAUUGUUCUAGAAAUAAAAUGAGAAGAGCUAUGAAAAUAUAAGUGAUCAUAAUCAUUUUAGCCCAACUCACAAAGUAACACUUCCUUUUCUAAGUUUUACAGUUACGACUUCAACAGAGAAGGACCCAGGAGCAACUGGCUAACCAAGGCUUAAUACCACACUAAUUCAAGCUCCAGCAGCCACAUACUUACUGCAAAGCCUUGCACUGAAAAGUCCAACUGCAUUCCAUGAGCAAAGAAAAAUUUGAAUAGUAACAAGGUAAUUUUUGCAAACUGCCUUUCUGAACUUAGGCUGUUAGUUAUAGACCUCAGGAUGCUAAACUCUG
Molecule: long non-coding RNA, 336 nt
Filed under: Heterocephalus glaber (naked mole-rat)
Lineage: Eukaryota; Metazoa; Chordata; Mammalia; Rodentia; Bathyergidae
Description: lncRNA (ENSHGLG00000046433.1)
Source: RNAcentral